This 445-nucleotide ribosomal RNA is filed under the name uncultured Acetobacteraceae bacterium. RNAcentral's name for it is "bacterial SSU rRNA". It matches the Rfam family "Bacterial small subunit ribosomal RNA", at positions 335 to 798 of the family's 1533-position model. The record is from RNAcentral. Lineage: Bacteria; Pseudomonadati; Pseudomonadota; Alphaproteobacteria; Acetobacterales; Acetobacteraceae.
ACUCCUACGGGGGGCUGCAGUGGGGAAUAUUGGACAAUGGGCGAAAGCCUGAUCCAGCCAUGCCGCGUGAGUGACGAAGGUCUUCGGAUUGUAAAGCUCUUUCGACGGGGACGAUGAUGACGGUACCCGUAGAAGAAGCCCCGGCUAACUUCGUGCCAGCAGCCGCGGUAAUACGAAGGGGGCUAGCGUUGCUCGGAAUGACUGGGCGUAAAGGGCGCGUAGGCGGAUUGUACAGUCAGAUGUGAAAUUCCUGGGCUCAACCUGGGGGCUGCAUUUGAUACGUGCGAUCUUGAGUCCGGAAGAGGGUGGUGGAAUUCCCAGUGUAGAGGUGAAAUUCGUAGAUAUUGGGAAGAACACCGGUGGCGAAGGCGGCCACCUGGUCCGGUACUGACGCUGAGGCGCGAAAGCGUGGGGAGCAAACAGGAUUAGAUACCCGUGUAGUCAC